AUGGGCGAAAGACCUGAUGGAGACAACGACGCGUGAGUGAAGAAGGUGCUUCGGAGCGUAAAGCUCUGUUGCACGGGACGAAAACCGAGUUUGAGAAUAUUGAGCUUGGGUGACGGUACCGAGCGAGGAAGCCACGGCUAACUACGUGCCAGCAGCCGCGGUAAUACGUAGGUGGCGAGCGUUGUCCGGAAUUAUUGGGCGUAAAGGGAGCGCAGGCGGACAUAUAAGUCCAUCUUAAAAGUGCGGGGCUCAACCCCGUGAGGGGAUGGAAACUGUAUGCCUUGAGUGCAGGAGAGGAAAGCGGAAUUCCCAGUGUAGCGGUGAAAUGCGUAGAUAUUGGGAGGAACACCAGUGGCGAAGGCGGCUUUCUGGACUGUAACUGACGCUGAGGCUCGAAAGCCAGGGGAGCGAACGGGAUUAGAUACCCCCGGGUAGUCCUGGCCCGUAAAACGAUGAAUGCUAGGUGUAGGAGGUAUCGACCCUUCCUGUGCCGGAGUUAACGCAUUAAGCAUUCCCGCCCUGGGGAGUACGGUC
RNAcentral lists this ribosomal RNA (534 nucleotides) under Selenomonas sputigena. RNAcentral's name for it is "bacterial SSU rRNA". It matches the Rfam family "Bacterial small subunit ribosomal RNA", at positions 371 to 887 of the family's 1533-position model. The record is from RNAcentral. Lineage: Bacteria; Bacillati; Bacillota; Negativicutes; Selenomonadales; Selenomonadaceae.